RNAcentral lists this long non-coding RNA (378 nucleotides) under Androctonus crassicauda. Lineage: Eukaryota; Metazoa; Arthropoda; Arachnida; Scorpiones; Buthidae. The record is from RNAcentral.
AUCAACUCAGAUUUUUUUAUAUACCACAACCUUAAUAGGAUUAGGAGUCAUGCUAAUGUUAAUUAUCAGAAAUAAAAAAAGGUAAUGUAAACAUGGAGAAUUUUAUUUCCUUUUACAUUAAAAAAUAUUUGAAGUGAUGUCUGCCAACUUCAUUAUGGAGUGUACAAUGAUUAACUAUGUUUCAUCUUUUCCACCUGGAAGAUUCCAUGUUCACUUCUGAUGCUGUGAAAUGCUGCAAAAAUGCAUUCAGGAUGCUCACCCACUGUUUUCACUGGUGUUUCAUAGACAACACUCUUCUUAUCUCAUUCUCUAUCACAAGGACAGGAAAUCAAACAAUUCAUAGCACUGUGGAGCUGUCAUUUCACAUUAUAUCACUCC